UACGGGGGGAGCAAGCGUUGUUCGGAUUUACUGGGCGUAAAGGGCGCGUAGGCGGCCAGCACAGGUCAGUUGUGAAAUCUCCGAGCUUAACUCGGAACGGUCAACUGAUACUGUGCGGCUAGAGUGCGGAAGGGGCAACUGGAAUUCUUGGUGUAGCGGUGAAAUGCGUAGAUAUCAAGAGGAACACCUGCGGCGAAGGCGGGUUGCUGGGCCGACACUGACGCUGAGGCGCGAAAGCCAGGGGAGCGAACGGG
This 254-nucleotide ribosomal RNA is filed under the name uncultured bacterium. Its description in RNAcentral is "partial 16S ribosomal RNA". It matches the Rfam family "Bacterial small subunit ribosomal RNA", at positions 524 to 776 of the family's 1533-position model. The record is from RNAcentral.